RNAcentral lists this ribosomal RNA (899 nucleotides) under Distoseptispora bangkokensis. RNAcentral describes it as "SSU rRNA". It matches the Rfam family "Eukaryotic small subunit ribosomal RNA", at positions 106 to 1014 of the family's 1831-position model. The record is from RNAcentral. Lineage: Eukaryota; Fungi; Ascomycota; Sordariomycetes; Distoseptisporaceae.
UCAGUUAUCGUUUAUUUGAUAGCACCUUACUACUUGGAUAACCGUGGUAAUUCUAGAGCUAAUACAUGCUGAAAAUCCCGACUUCGGAAGGGAUGUAUUUAUUAGAUUAAAAACCAAUGCCCUCCGGGGCUCACUGGUGAUUCAUGAUAACUUCUCGAAUCGCAUGGCCUUGCGCCGGCGAUGGUUCAUUCAAAUUUCUGCCCUAUCAACUUUCGACUGCUGGGUCUUGGCCAGCAAUGGUGACAACGGGUAACGGAGGGUUAGGGCUCGACCCCGGAGAAGGAGCCUGAGAAACGGCUACUACAUCCAAGGAAGGCAGCAGGCGCGCAAAUUACCCAAUCCCGACACGGGGAGGUAGUGACAAUAAAUACUGAUACAGGGCUCUUUUGGGUCUUGUAAUUGGAAUGAGUACAAUUUAAAUCCCUUAACGAGGAACAAUUGGAGGGCAAGUCUGGUGCCAGCAGCCGCGGUAAUUCCAGCUCCAAUAGCGUAUAUUAAAGUUGUUGCAGUUAAAAAGCUCGUAGUUGAACCUUGGGCCUGGCCGGCCGGUCCGCCUCACCGCGUGCACUGGUUCGGCCGGGCCUUUUCCUCUGGCGAGCCCCAUGCCCUUCACUGGGCGUGUGGGGGAACCAGGACUUUUACUUUGAAAAAAUUAGAGUGUUCAAAGCAGGCCUAUGCUCGAAUACAUUAGCAUGGAAUAAUAGAAUAGGACGUGCGGUUCUAUUUUGUUGGUUUCUAGGACCGCCGUAAUGAUUAAUAGGGACAGUCGGGGGCAUCAGUAUUCAAUUGUCAGAGGUGAAAUUCUUGGAUUUAUUGAAGACUAACUACUGCGAAAGCAUUUGCCAAGGAUGUUUUCAUUAAUCAGGAACGAAAGUUAGGGGAUCGAAGACGAUCGGAUC